RNAcentral lists this ribosomal RNA (506 nucleotides) under uncultured bacterium. RNAcentral describes it as "partial 16S ribosomal RNA". It matches the Rfam family "Bacterial small subunit ribosomal RNA", at positions 28 to 523 of the family's 1533-position model. The record is from RNAcentral.
GAUGAACGCUAGCUACAGGCUUAACACAUGCAAGUCGAGGGGUAACGAGAGGAAAGCUUGCCUUCCUUGUCGACGACCGGCGCACGGGUGAGUAACGCGUAUCCAACCUGCCCCCAACUAGGGAAUAACCUUGCGAAAGUAAGACUAAUACCCUAUAAUUUCCUCAGAUGUCAUCUGACGAGGAAUAAAGAUUUAUCGGUUGUGGAUGGGGAUGCGUCUGAUUAGCUUGUUGGCGGGGUAACGGCCCACCAAGGCAACGAUCAGUAGGGGUUCUGAGAGGAAGGUCCCCCACAUUGAAACUGAGACGCGGUCCAAACUCCUACGGGAGGCAGCAGUGAGGAAUAUUGGUCAAUGGGCGGAAGCCUGAACCAGCCAAGUAGCGUGCAGGAUGACGGCCCUAUGGGUUGUAAACUGCUUUUAUACAGGAAUAAAGUUAGCCACGUGUGGUUAUUUGUAGGUACUGUAUGAAUAAGGACCGGCUAAUUCCGUGCCAGCCGCCGCAGUAA